GAUGAACGCUGGCGGCGUGCCUAAUACAUGCAAGUCGAGCGAACAGACGAGGAGCUUGCUCCUCUGACGUUAGCGGCGCACGGGUGAGUAACACGUGGAUAACCUACCUAUAAGACUGGUAUCACUUCGGGAAACCGGAUCAAAUACCGGAUAAUAUAUUGAACCGCAUGGUUCAAUAGUGAAAGUCGGUUUUGCUGUCACUUAUAGCUGGUUCCCGGCUGGAUUGGCUAGUUGGUACGGUAACGGCUUACCAAGGCAACGAUGCGUAGCCGACCGGAGAGGGGGGUCGGCCACACUGGAACUGAGACACGGACCAGGCUCCUACGGGAGGGAGCAGUAGCGAAUCUUCCGCAAUGGGCGAAAGCCUGACGGAGCAACGCCGCGUGAGUGAUGAAGGUCUUCGGAUCGUAAAACUCUGUUAUUAGGGAAGAACAAAUGUGUAAGUAACUAUGCACGUCUUGACGGUACCUAAUCAGAAAGCCACGGCUAACUACGUG
RNAcentral lists this ribosomal RNA (497 nucleotides) under uncultured bacterium. RNAcentral's name for it is "partial 16S ribosomal RNA". It matches the Rfam family "Bacterial small subunit ribosomal RNA", at positions 28 to 507 of the family's 1533-position model. The record is from RNAcentral.